UGAGUAACACGUAUCCAACCUGCCGUCUACUCUUGGACAGCCUUCUGAAAGGAAGAUUAAUACAAGAUGGCAUCAUGAGUCCGCAUGUUCACAUGAUUAAAGGUAUUCCGGUAGACGAUGGGGAUGCGUUCCAUUAGAUAGUAGGCGGGGUAACGGCCUACCUAGUCUUCGAUGGAUAGGGGUUCUGAGAGGAAGGUCCCCCACAUUGGAACUGAGACACGGUCCAA
RNAcentral lists this ribosomal RNA (227 nucleotides) under uncultured bacterium. RNAcentral describes it as "partial 16S ribosomal RNA". It matches the Rfam family "Bacterial small subunit ribosomal RNA", at positions 107 to 334 of the family's 1533-position model. The record is from RNAcentral.